RNAcentral lists this transfer RNA (68 nucleotides) under Camelus bactrianus (Bactrian camel). It matches the Rfam family "tRNA". Rfam says of the family: Transfer RNA (tRNA) molecules are approximately 80 nucleotides in length. Their secondary structure includes four short double-helical elements and three loops (D, anti-codon, and T loops). Further hydrogen bonds mediate the characteristic L-shaped molecular structure. tRNAs have two regions of fundamental functional importance: the anti-codon, which is responsible for specific mRNA codon recognition, and the 3' end, to which the tRNAs corresponding amino acid is attached (by aminoacyl-tRNA synthetases). tRNAs cope with the degeneracy of the genetic code in two manners: having more than one tRNA (with a specific anti-codon) for a particular amino acid; and 'wobble' base-pairing, i.e. permitting non-standard base-pairing at the 3rd anti-codon position. RNAcentral also lists the same sequence under 1 other name. Lineage: Eukaryota; Metazoa; Chordata; Mammalia; Artiodactyla; Camelidae. The record is from Rfam by way of RNAcentral.
GUAAUAAUAGCUCAGUGGUAGAGCAUGUGCUUAGCAUGCAUGAGGUCCUGGGUUCAAUCCCCAGUACA